RNAcentral lists this ribosomal RNA (473 nucleotides) under uncultured bacterium. Its description in RNAcentral is "bacterial SSU rRNA". It matches the Rfam family "Bacterial small subunit ribosomal RNA", at positions 355 to 825 of the family's 1533-position model. The record is from RNAcentral.
UGGAGAAUAUUGCGCAAUGGGCGAAAGCCUGACGCAGCAACGCCGCGUGAGUGAUGAAGGCCUUCGGGUCGUAAAGCUCUGUCGGAGGGAACGAAUGCUCUUGAGGUUAACAGCCUCAGGAAAUGACGGUACCCUCAAAGGAAGCACCGGCUAACUCUGUGCCAGCAGCCGCGGUAAGACAGAGGCCACGAACGUUGUUCGGAAUCACUGGGCAUAAAGCGCACGUAGGCGGCUAGGUCCGUCCGAUGUGAAAGCCCCCGGCUCAACCGGGGAAUUGCAUCGGAUACAGCCUGGCUUGAGGACGGUUGGGGUGAGUGGAACUCCUGGUGGAGCGGUGAAAUGCGUAGAUAUCAGGAGGAACACCGGUGGCGAAAGCGGCUCACUGGACCGUUACUGACGCUGAGGUGCGAAAGCUAGGGGANCAAACGGGAUUAGAUACCCACGUAGUCCCUGAGCGGGCUGGCAAGGCGCAU